Long non-coding RNA from Limanda limanda (common dab), 552 nucleotides. RefSeq lists it as uncharacterized. NCBI's taxonomy places the organism in Eukaryota, Metazoa, Chordata, Actinopteri, Pleuronectiformes, Pleuronectidae. The transcript is spliced from 3 exons. The record is from RefSeq and is a predicted model, not a curated record.
ACAUAUAAUAGAAAGUAACUGAAACUAUACUCAUCCAUUAACAGGUCAGAGAUCACUCCCUAGAGGAGAGAACUAACUAGAAUUAAAUAAUCUUCUGUUCUUGUCUAAUGCGUUUCUUAUUUUUUCUACCAGCUCCAGGCGACGUCCUGACCAGAGAAGAAUAUCUGAGGAUCACACAGAAAGCCAAACUCUCCUACGGCGUGUUCAUCGCCAAGAGCUGCGUCUACGGAGCCUUCGUGGCCUUUUUGGUUUGGAGACUCCAGAGUUCAACUCAGAAGCAGAGGAAGUGAGACCUGAGCGUGAAGGAAAAUGAACGGUUGCUUUAUGUAAAUAAAUCUGAGAACAAAAUAAUCCUAUAAAGCUGUGAGUCGCAGUGCAUUUGUACUCGUACGUAAAUAUAAAAUGUUAAAAUUCUGCACUUAGUCGAUAAAUCAGCUUGUUCUUGUUAAAGAUGUUAAAUCUAUAAACGACCUGAAAACAGAAUAAUCUGCAGCAGACUUGUUUUCACUGCUUUAUAAUUCUCUGUGUUUGUUUGUGUUGCGAUGCUUGUGU